Molecule: ribosomal RNA, 158 nt
Filed under: Parastagonospora avenae
Lineage: Eukaryota; Fungi; Ascomycota; Dothideomycetes; Pleosporales; Phaeosphaeriaceae
Description: 5.8S ribosomal RNA
Rfam family: 5.8S ribosomal RNA (bases 21-158)
About the family: 5.8S ribosomal RNA (5.8S rRNA) is a component of the large subunit of the eukaryotic ribosome. It is transcribed by RNA polymerase I as part of the 45S precursor that also contains 18S and 28S rRNA.
Source: RNAcentral
UGAAUUAUUUUAAUAAUUACAACUUUCAACAACGGAUCUCUUGGUUCUGGCAUCGAUGAAGAACGCAGCGAAAUGCGAUAAGUAGUGUGAAUUGCAGAAUUCAGUGAAUCAUCGAAUCUUUGAACGCACAUUGCGCCCCUUGGUAUUCCAUGGGGCAU